Long non-coding RNA from Calidris pugnax (ruff), 277 nucleotides. RefSeq lists it as uncharacterized. NCBI's taxonomy places the organism in Eukaryota, Metazoa, Chordata, Aves, Charadriiformes, Scolopacidae. The record is from RefSeq and is a predicted model, not a curated record. The transcript is spliced from 2 exons.
CUUGCGGGGAAAAAAGGGAGAGAGAGAGAGUGACUUUGAAAUCCCAGGCAGCAAACAGGAACAAUCCAGACAGCAGGUGAUAUUUCAAAGCUUCAGGUCAAGAUGAGUCAUCAAACCCUGAGGCCUUAUAUCCCUUCAGAUCCCCAGAAGUCUUCUGAAUUCCAGAAGCUUACUGACCUCUUUAAAGAUGUCUGAGCGCACAUGGACUUAGGAAACUGUAUUUGCUAUCCAGCCAAGGCAAGGAGUCCUCCUGAAUUCAGGAAGAAGACCUGGAGAG